This 21-nucleotide non-coding RNA is filed under the name Caenorhabditis elegans. The record is from RNAcentral. Lineage: Eukaryota; Metazoa; Nematoda; Chromadorea; Rhabditida; Rhabditidae.
UGUUGAAAAAUAAAGUACUGG